Long non-coding RNA from Uranotaenia lowii, 1391 nucleotides. RefSeq lists it as uncharacterized. The transcript has 3 exons. The record is from RefSeq and is a predicted model, not a curated record. Lineage: Eukaryota; Metazoa; Arthropoda; Insecta; Diptera; Culicidae.
UUUGAGUGGGUAGUUUUAAUUUACUUGAAGGUUCUUACCUUGGAACCCAAAAGCAGUAAUAAGUACCCACUCAUACAUAUUUGACAGCUUUCGAGCAGCUUUUUUUUUAUUGUCCGACAUUUUCUCCCUGGGUAAGACGCGUUGUGCCGGGAAGUUUUAUUUUUUUUCGACGCCGCAAGCCGUUCGUUAAAAAAAAUAAAGAACAACAUUGCGACUGGAUCCCGGUAGAACACCAGGACAAUAUUCCGGGUAAGUUUUUGGCUGGAACAUCGUCACCAUGAAAGACUUAGUUCCAACCAAACCUGUGUUUAAGGUUAGGGUUUUUUUUAAAUAUGCCGUACCGAGAAAGUGUUUUUAAAUUUUGUUCCUCUGUUACAGGCUGCAGCCGCUGCGUAUCUGCUGAGAUGAUUACCCAGCUGGUGCUUCUCGUCGAACUGGUGUCGAGAAAUUUCCCCGUUUAUCAGGUGUAAAACGGUGCAGUCGGAGUUCUUCCGGCUUCCGAACCAUACUCCAAUUACGUUACGGAAGAAAAAACGUUCACUUAGCCGCUAGAGAAAUCGGAGCGAACAACACGGACAACAUCCGAAAACGUCAUUUCACUUCAAGAAGAUACCGAGAUGGUCAGAGUAUCAGCAGUUCUAGUCAUUCCGGUACCACUAGUGAAGCCCCAGUUCGGCAGUUCAAGUUCGACCAGGAAGGGAAAUCAAGAAACCGGUGAAUGAAGUGCCUAAAGAGAAGGAAACCUAAACCUAAACAAAAUACUGAUGAUGUUCCAUUGUAGCAGCGAAGCUUCACAGUCGAAUGGAUGCUACAAAUUGGACACUGAUGCGUUCAUAUGGCUAAUAUAUUUAACUGUCCUCGCAAUAUGAUCAUUCAGCAGAAUUAGCAUCAACCGGACAAACUCGCUGAAAAUUACUCAGACUGGAUGGGAAAACGAAAUUGGUUCAUUUUCAACCCGAUUUAAGCCACGAUUCUACUCUAAGCAAUGUUAAAAAUAGGAGCAAUUUAAGUCAACAAGCAUCUAGCGCAAUUCAAUGCACAGUUUGGAUAAAAGAUUAUGUAUUUUGUAAAUAUGAUUAUGUAUGAUAAAAUUUAGAAAGAAAACAGCUAGGGUGCUUAUUGUAAAUUAUAACACUCAUAGAUUGAAAUUAAUAGGUAGUAAAAAACACAAACUAUAUCAGGUAAAACAGUAAGAAUAAGAUCGGAAAAAACAAUUCGUUGAUUGAUGAUCCACAAUUAAUUGUUAAUACUUUCUUUUUUUAAACACAUUAAGUCAAAUGAUCAUUUUUACAACAGCUAUGCGCCGAAUAUCACAAACAAUUUGGUUUUUUCAUGUAUCCAAUAUAGACAGACAUGACGUUAAAUAUAUACAUAUUUAUAGGAUAAAAUGA